RNAcentral lists this ribosomal RNA (459 nucleotides) under uncultured bacterium. Its description in RNAcentral is "bacterial SSU rRNA". It matches the Rfam family "Bacterial small subunit ribosomal RNA", at positions 29 to 526 of the family's 1533-position model. The record is from RNAcentral.
AACGAACGUUGGCGGCAUGAUUAGGCAUGCAAGUCGCGGGAAUCCAGCAAUGGGGAACCGGCGUAAGGGGCAGUAAGGCAUGGGUAUCUACCCAGGGGUUCGGGAUAGCCACCAGAAAUGGUGGGUAAUACCGGAUGACGUCGUGAGACCAAAGGUCCGCCGCCCUUGGAGGAGCCCAUGUGAUAUUAGCUAGUUGGUGAGGUAACGGCUCACCAAGGCGAAGAUGUCUAGCGGGUAUGAGAGUACGACCCGCGCCACUCGCACUGAGACACUGGCGAGACACCUACGGGUGGCUGCAGUCGAGGAUCUUCGGCAAUGGGGGCAACCCUGACCGAGCGAUGCCGCGUGCGCGAUGAAGGCCUUCGGGUUGUAAAGCGCGAAAGUGGGGAGAAACGCCGAAAGGCUUGAUCUAUCCACAGUAAGCUCGGGCUAAGUUCGUGCCAGCCGCCGCCGUAAAAC